This 482-nucleotide ribosomal RNA is filed under the name uncultured bacterium. Its description in RNAcentral is "partial 16S ribosomal RNA". It matches the Rfam family "Bacterial small subunit ribosomal RNA", at positions 30 to 507 of the family's 1533-position model. The record is from RNAcentral.
AUUGAACGCUGGCGGCAUGCCUUACACAUGCAAGUCGAACGGUAACAGGUCUUCGGAUGCUGACGAGUGGCGAACGGGUGAGUAAUACAUCGGAACGUGCCCAGACGUGGGGGAUAACGAGGCGAAAGCUUUGCUAAUACCGCAUACGAUCUAAGGAUGAAAGCAGGGGACCGCAAGGCCUUGCGCGUUUGGAGCGGCCGAUGGCAGAUUAGGUAGUUGGUGGGAUAAAAGCUUACCAAGCCGACGAUCUGUAGCUGGUCUGAGAGGACGACCAGCCACACUGGGACUGAGACACGGCCCAGACUCCUACGGGAGGCAGCAGUGGGGAAUUUUGGACAAUGGGCGAAAGCCUGAUCCAGCAAUGCCGCGUGCAGGAUGAAGGCCUUCGGGUUGUAAACUGCUUUUGUACGGAACGAAAAGGCUCUGGCUAAUACCUGGGGCACAUGACGGUACCGUAAGAAUAAGCACCGGCUAACUCCGUG